This 340-nucleotide long non-coding RNA is filed under the name Homo sapiens (human). Its description in RNAcentral is "HSALNT0365643". The record is from RNAcentral. Lineage: Eukaryota; Metazoa; Chordata; Mammalia; Primates; Hominidae.
ACUUAGCCUUGUCCCUACCUCUUUACUCCUCUGUAGGCAGUAAUUCUUUUUUCUUUUCUUUCUUUUUUUUUUCUUUUGGUGUAACAGUAUCGCAUGAGCCAAGACUGUCAUGAAACUAUUUGGAUACUGUACUCUGGUUCCUUCAUCUCCUCCAUCUGCAUCAGCCUAAAUUGUCCUAGACCCUAAUGAAGAGGUUUAUCUGAUUGGUUUACUGGAGUCCUAUGUGGGAUGAAUAGCUUCAGCCUUUGCGCUUGCACCUCUUUGCUGUCCACUCCAAUCAAGAACGGGGGCCCUCGCAACUCUCUCAGUUCUGAAACAAAUUAAAUCUCAGUGACAGACU